Polypterus senegalus (gray bichir) is the source of this 938-nucleotide long non-coding RNA. RefSeq lists it as uncharacterized. The record is from RefSeq and is a predicted model, not a curated record. The transcript has 3 exons. NCBI's taxonomy places the organism in Eukaryota, Metazoa, Chordata, Cladistia, Polypteriformes, Polypteridae.
UCAUAUGUAUCGCGGGCUGCAUUAGACCCUUCUCCGUAAGUGCGUACACCUGAUGAGACCCAAUUAGGGCGAAACACGCGUCGUGUACACCUUGAACUAUUUGCCAGGGAUACACCAGAAGUUCAUCACAAAGGUCACAACCCAAGAGGGACUAAGGGUGAAUACGGGGAGAAAAAACACAAUCCAGAGGCUUCAAAAAUAAGACCAACCACAGGAAAUUUAGCUUGGACUCGAGGACGUCACUUCUGUUUUUCCGGGUCCAGUGACGGCACUUCCGGUUCUGGGGCUGCUGACGUCACGUCCUGUCCUGUCCCGAGGACGUCAUUUCCGGUUCCUGCCCCGAUGACAUCACUUCCCCUGCCCGGCUUUAAAACCGUCAUCUUUUCCCAUUAUUGUUAAACUGAAAUCUGUUGACGUGUUCUAUGGAACCGACCUUUCAAUUUUGGCAGCCUAAUUCAAAUAUACAAAACGGCUGCCCCCAAACCUCUUGCUGUGUCUGUCCAGUCUUUUCACACUGUACAUGUACUUACUUCUGUGUAGGAAAUCAAAUUAUUGUAAAUGCAAUGUAACGUUCUCCAACCUGCUUAAUCCAAAUUCCCAGAGCCUAUUCACACACACACACACUCAAACUCACACUCAUACAGAGCUAGCUGACCUAACAAAAGUUUUUUAAACUUAGGGCUGUGGCUCCCUGGGGGUCCAUCACACUGUGCUCACCAUUCCAAUUUUGAAGGUUGUCUUUAAAUCACCUCAAAUAGUUUUUAAAUAAAUAAAACUGAAAAUAUUCUGUAGUUGCUUUAUGAAAGUAUUCCUGUAUCAGUUUUGCUAUAGACUGGCACUGUAAUUCUCAACUGGAGGGCCAGAGGGCCUUAAAAGGGAGUGUUAACUGGUAUCUUUCUCCUUGGUUAUUAAAGCCAGUGGAAGACAAUGAUGAAAAA